This 641-nucleotide ribosomal RNA is filed under the name uncultured Anaplasma sp. Its description in RNAcentral is "bacterial SSU rRNA". It matches the Rfam family "Bacterial small subunit ribosomal RNA", at positions 815 to 1456 of the family's 1533-position model. Lineage: Bacteria; Pseudomonadati; Pseudomonadota; Alphaproteobacteria; Rickettsiales; Anaplasmataceae. The record is from RNAcentral.
GCUGAAUGUGGGGAUAAUUUAUCUCCGUGUUGUAGCUAACGCGUUAAGCACUCCGCCUGGGGACUACGGUCGCAAGACUAAAACUCAAAGGAAUUGACGGGGACCCGCACAAGCGGUGGAGCAUGUGGUUUAAUUCGAUGCAACGCGAAAAACCUUACCACUCCUUGACAUGGAGAUUAGAUCCUUCUUAACAGAAGGGCGCAGUUCGGCUGGAUCUCGCACAGGUGCUGCAUGGCUGUCGUCAGCUCGUGUCGUGAGAUGUUGGGUUAAGUCCCGCAACGAGCGUAACCCUCAUCCUUAGUUGCCAGCGGGUAAGCCGGGCACUUUAAGGAAACUGCCGGUGGUAAACCGGAGGAAGGUGGGGAUGAUGUCAAGUCAGCACGGCCCUUAUGGGGUGGGCUACACACGUGCUACAAUGGUGACUACAAUAGGUUGCAAUGUCGCAAGGCUGAGCUAAUCCGUAAAAGUCAUCUCAGUUCGGAUUGUCCUCUGCAACUCGAGGGCAUGAAGUCGGAAUCGCUAGUAAUCGUGGAUCAGCAUGCCACGGUGAAUACGUUCUCGGGUCUUGUACACACUGCCCGUCACGCCAUGGGAAUUGGCUUAACUCGAAGCUGGUGGGCUAACCGAAAGGAAGCAGCCAU